Molecule: long non-coding RNA, 288 nt
Filed under: Homo sapiens (human)
Lineage: Eukaryota; Metazoa; Chordata; Mammalia; Primates; Hominidae
Description: non-protein coding LINC00472:26
Source: RNAcentral
GACUGGCCAGAGGCCAGAGCCCGGGGCCAGCAAACCUUUCCCUGCUGUGAGGUGGGCAAGUUAGUUGCUCCAAAAACAAGAUAAAAUGAUUGAGUUCUUUUCUCAAGCGGGAGUCGGAGUUUAUCUGCUCUGAGAGCCCCAGCAGCUACUAUUAAUGAGUGUCUGGAAUAUGUUCCUGGCAUUUCACCUACCCUCUCUCCAAUCCUUCCAAGAAACUCACAAAGCAGGGCUUUUUCUUGAACUUCUCUUCCUCACAACAGUUAAAUCAUCCAUUUAAAGAUGUCAAAC